CUCCAUUAUACGAACUACACCUCUGCAGAUGUUGCACUGAAAUGAAAAGCUUCUCUCCAUACUCAGUGGAGAAAGAACUUUAUUGAACAGUGGAAUGAGACACUGAGUGUUAGGUAACAUUGUACAACAUGAUAGAUAUAUCUUACAUUUGUUCUUCUGGUCUGUGGUGCUCCCUAAAAACCUUUGCAUUUCAUGAGGCCCGAUGCAAUUUUUUUGUGUUACAGAACAACCCUGGUGAAAUCAUGCUUUUGCCAUGAGAUCUGAGCUGUUCUGAGGAAUGGGAAAGAAGAGACAGAGGAGGAGAGGAAUCACUGAGCUCUACUUUCCACAGAAUAAGGCCUCUGGAAAUAAGAUGGUGUCAAAAUCUCUGCAUUUAUCGUUAACUGCUUAAAAGGUCCUUUACAGUUCAGGCAAGAAUGAUGCUUGCCCUGGCAAGUUUAUGUACUAAUUGAAACCUCUGCGUUUGUGUGUCAGCACAACACAGCAAAAUGGAGAGCUGCAGUGGCAAUGGAAAUACUCUAAUGUUGCUCAAGUCAAAAUAAAAACUUCAUCUUGUUUGGCAUCAGCCAUGAGAAAAGGUGGAUAUUGCUGCAGGACAGGGAGACAUUGGAAAAGAGAGGCUGGCACAGCUAAGGGGGAGCGGCCCAGUGGGAGAAGCCUAGAUAAUUAGAGAGGAGAGAAACUAUGCAGGAAGCUUAGAAAGCCACGAGCUAUGGGGUAAAUUAAAGGAGACAGAGCAGACUGAGUAGAUUUGAUUGUCUGAAUUACAUGUGUGCAUCUGAGUAGCAGGUGAAAGGAAUGAAGAUGAGGUAGCAGUCUGAAAGCCUUUAAAGGGAUCACCUGGAGGCUAAGGAGCAGGUGGAGGGUUGAGCUGUGGAGGAGAGGAAGCAAAAUAAAUCUUGGGAAAGUGGGGGAGGGGGGUGUACAUUAUCUGGAGAGUAAAUCAGUGCCCAACAAUACUCAGGAAAACAUUUGGAGAAGAUCGAACAGUGAUGGUACAGAUUCAGAGGAGAGCAAAAUACUUCAUGUUUCAGAAGAACCUAGACAGAUUUCUCCAAAUGCAUCUCUACUUGUUUGUCAUUCACACUGACACGAGAACCUCCUCUUCUUGGUAAAGUAACAGACCUCCUGAGAGCCCUAUUGCUGGAGCAACAUAGAGAACGCAUUAACAUAACAUCUCAGGCAUGAGCCUGAGCGAACACUGCCACGACUGCCUUACUAAUCACCUGUUGUCAGUCUGACACAGAGCUCCACCUACUCGGAUAGGCAUCUAAUAAGGCACCGAGAUCUAUCUGUAGCCAGAGGGAUAAAACUGAGUUCACCUCUAACCUGGAAGACAGGUGUGUACAAACUUUGAAACAGGAAAAAAGAUCAAUUUUACCUCUAAUGAAAAUCCAAUGGAUGACUAUAGUCUACAUGGGAGGUAAACCAAUGUAGAGAUGUAUACGUUUGAACUGACUUGCUAAAGGAAAAACAUCUUCUGGUAUGAACUUUGACCAUGGCUUCUGAAAAGUAAUUAGAAAAUAUCUGGAGAAAUGCUUUAAGUCCAGUAGUGCAACCUCUUCACCUUUAACAGAUGUGGUUUGCAAGCUUCCUAAGUAACACAGACUGUACACACUAUUCUACAGUGGGUAGAAAGAAAGCUGCCUAUUUUGGCAUACCUGAUACAUGGUUUCAUGCUGACUUUCUUUAAUCAAAACAAAAUCAUACAAAUUCAAGGGAAUUUUUCCUGUCUUUCCUCAUUUUCUUUACAGUUGCUGCCACAACUGGUUUUUUAAGUGUAUUGUCACACCAUACUAAAUGUUUGUUAGCAAUACCAUUUUGUUACGUGUUAUGUAAACUGGAUAGUGGAUUACGCUCUGUGGGAUACUUAUGCGUUUCUCCACCCCUCAAGCUCCUGGGGAAACGGUUCUUCAGUAAUAUCAGGAUGUCAAAGUGAGGGCUAAAAACCUGAGAGAGAACUAUCACAUGUUCAGUAAAAACAAAAACCUGUAAUCACUAUAACAACCUUUACAUAAUCAAAGUAUGAAAGAAACACUCAAAAAACGAAAAAUCUGUGAAACUUCCAGGUACGUAUUUUAAUACAGUAUCAUAAAAGAUAAUGUUAACAGCUAGUGAUCAUC
Molecule: long non-coding RNA, 2123 nt
Organism: Phasianus colchicus (ring-necked pheasant)
Lineage: Eukaryota; Metazoa; Chordata; Aves; Galliformes; Phasianidae
Source: Ensembl